GGGGGUUGAAGGUAUUUGAAACGAUGAUUAAACUCAAUUAAAAUGCAUGGAAAUUAAACACAACCGAAUAAAAUAGAAAACAUUAAAGUAAAAUAAAAUGCUAAACCCAACAUUACAUAGAUAAUUAUCAAACAUAGCUAAAACCAUUAAAAUGCAACACUAAAUUAAAUGGAUGAAAAACCACUAAACAUAUAAUGUUAAAC
Molecule: long non-coding RNA, 203 nt
Filed under: Vigna radiata
Lineage: Eukaryota; Viridiplantae; Streptophyta; Magnoliopsida; Fabales; Fabaceae
Description: long non-coding RNA (VRAD_LNC015698)
Source: RNAcentral